UUUUAAGCAGGCACCUAGACGGGUACCUGGAGAUGGGGUCCGAUCUUUUUGUGUGGAAGCGUGUUGCCUCGCAGUGGUGUUUGUGAACAGAUAUGGUCUGAAUGAGCAGAUGUAAACGCUGUGCUGCCUGGUACCGCUUCCGCAUUGGUUUGUGUAUGGACACUGUUUGGGUGAACAGGUGUAAACAUCAUGGAUUUAGCGGCUGCUGGUCACGCCCGUCCUCGUUCGAUCUCGGAUAUUGGUUUAUGGCUGUGUUCAGUUCAUGGCUGUGUUGCAGGUUUAGUUGAUCGCUGUUCCUCCUAUGUUUGUUUUUGUUUGUUUUCUCGCUAGCCCGUCCUUGCAUGUGCACGCUGUAUGCCUCCAGCGCAAUUAAACGUUUAUGAUUGUUGUAUGAACUGGACUGGCUAGCGGGGUUUUCUUUGUAUUUUCUUUAUUUUUUUCUUUUUGUUUUUUUCUUUACUUGUAUCACUUCCCAGCCUCGUGUUGCUAGCCAACCUCUAUAUUCCCUAAAUCAGAUUGAUGCUUUAAAACGCAUGAACUAUUUUUUUUUUGCAUGAGGUUUAUACUUGGAGUGUAAUUGAGUGUUUUUUUUUCUAUGAGUGUUGUAUUUACUUAAUGAUUUUGGGCUUGUUUAUGUGAUCUACUUUUCCUUUAAAUCGUUCUGUGUAAAAAAGCUGGCUUGUGUUGGGAUCUAGAGAGGGUUGGCUGGUUAUUAAAGGUACAAUU
Molecule: long non-coding RNA, 726 nt
Organism: Megalobrama amblycephala (Wuchang bream)
Lineage: Eukaryota; Metazoa; Chordata; Actinopteri; Cypriniformes; Xenocyprididae
Exons: 4
Source: RefSeq, a predicted model, not a curated record